RNAcentral lists this ribosomal RNA (2904 nucleotides) under Escherichia coli. RNAcentral's name for it is "23S ribosomal RNA". It matches the Rfam family "Bacterial large subunit ribosomal RNA". The record is from RNAcentral. Lineage: Bacteria; Pseudomonadati; Pseudomonadota; Gammaproteobacteria; Enterobacterales; Enterobacteriaceae.
GGUUAAGCGACUAAGCGUACACGGUGGAUGCCCUGGCAGUCAGAGGCGAUGAAGGACGUGCUAAUCUGCGAUAAGCGUCGGUAAGGUGAUAUGAACCGUUAUAACCGGCGAUUUCCGAAUGGGGAAACCCAGUGUGAUUCGUCACACUAUCAUUAACUGAAUCCAUAGGUUAAUGAGGCGAACCGGGGGAACUGAAACAUCUAAGUACCCCGAGGAAAAGAAAUCAACCGAGAUUCCCCCAGUAGCGGCGAGCGAACGGGGAGCAGCCCAGAGCCUGAAUCAGUGUGUGUGUUAGUGGAAGCGUCUGGAAAGGCGCGCGAUACAGGGUGACAGCCCCGUACACAAAAAUGCACAUGCUGUGAGCUCGAUGAGUAGGGCGGGACACGUGGUAUCCUGUCUGAAUAUGGGGGGACCAUCCUCCAAGGCUAAAUACUCCUGACUGACCGAUAGUGAACCAGUACCGUGAGGGAAAGGCGAAAAGAACCCCGGCGAGGGGAGUGAAAAAGAACCUGAAACCGUGUACGUACAAGCAGUGGGAGCCUCUUAAUGGGGUGACUGCGUACCUUUUGUAUAAUGGGUCAGCGACUUAUAUUCUGUAGCAAGGUUAACCGAAUAGGGGAGCCGAAGGGAAACCGAGUCUUAACUGGGCGUUAAGUUGCAGGGUAUAGACCCGAAACCCGGUGAUCUAGCCAUGGGCAGGUUGAAGGUUGGGUAACACUAACUGGAGGACCGAACCGACUAAUGUUGAAAAAUUAGCGGAUGACUUGUGGCUGGGGGUGAAAGGCCAAUCAAACCGGGAGAUAGCUGGUUCUCCCCGAAAGCUAUUUAGGUAGCGCCUCGUGAAUUCAUCUCCGGGGGUAGAGCACUGUUUCGGCAAGGGGGUCAUCCCGACUUACCAACCCGAUGCAAACUGCGAAUACCGGAGAAUGUUAUCACGGGAGACACACGGCGGGUGCUAACGUCCGUCGUGAAGAGGGAAACAACCCAGACCGCCAGCUAAGGUCCCAAAGUCAUGGUUAAGUGGGAAACGAUGUGGGAAGGCCCAGACAGCCAGGAUGUUGGCUUAGAAGCAGCCAUCAUUUAAAGAAAGCGUAAUAGCUCACUGGUCGAGUCGGCCUGCGCGGAAGAUGUAACGGGGCUAAACCAUGCACCGAAGCUGCGGCAGCGACACUAUGUGUUGUUGGGUAGGGGAGCGUUCUGUAAGCCUGCGAAGGUGUACUGUGAGGUAUGCUGGAGGUAUCAGAAGUGCGAAUGCUGACAUAAGUAACGAUAAAGCGGGUGAAAAGCCCGCUCGCCGGAAGACCAAGGGUUCCUGUCCAACGUUAAUCGGGGCAGGGUGAGUCGACCCCUAAGGCGAGGCCGAAAGGCGUAGUCGAUGGGAAACAGGUUAAUAUUCCUGUACUUGGUGUUACUGCGAAGGGGGGACGGAGAAGGCUAUGUUGGCCGGGCGACGGUUGUCCCGGUUUAAGCGUGUAGGCUGGUUUUCCAGGCAAAUCCGGAAAAUCAAGGCUGAGGCGUGAUGACGAGGCACUACGGUGCUGAAGCAACAAAUGCCCUGCUUCCAGGAAAAGCCUCUAAGCAUCAGGUAACAUCAAAUCGUACCCCAAACCGACACAGGUGGUCAGGUAGAGAAUACCAAGGCGCUUGAGAGAACUCGGGUGAAGGAACUAGGCAAAAUGGUGCCGUAACUUCGGGAGAAGGCACGCUGAUAUGUAGGUGAAGUCCCUUGCGGAUGGAGCUGAAAUCAGUCGAAGAUACCAGCUGGCUGCAACUGUUUAUUAAAAACACAGCACUGUGCAAACACGAAAGUGGACGUAUACGGUGUGACGCCUGCCCGGUGCCGGAAGGUUAAUUGAUGGGGUUAGCGGUAACGCGAAGCUCUUGAUCGAAGCCCCGGUAAACGGCGGCCGUAACUAUAACGGUCCUAAGGUAGCGAAAUUCCUUGUCGGGUAAGUUCCGACCUGCACGAAUGGCGUAAUGAUGGCCAGGCUGUCUCCACCCGAGACUCAGUGAAAUUGAACUCGCUGUGAAGAUGCAGUGUACCCGCGGCAAGACGGAAAGACCCCGUGAACCUUUACUAUAGCUUGACACUGAACAUUGAGCCUUGAUGUGUAGGAUAGGUGGGAGGCUUUGAAGUGUGGACGCCAGUCUGCAUGGAGCCGACCUUGAAAUACCACCCUUUAAUGUUUGAUGUUCUAACGUUGGCCCCUGAUCGGGGUUGCGGACAGUGUCUGGUGGGUAGUUUGACUGGGGCGGUCUCCUCCUAAAGAGUAACGGAGGAGCACGAAGGUUGGCUAAUCCUGGUCGGACAUCAGGAGGUUAGUGCAAUGGCAUAAGCCAGCUUGACUGCGAGCGUGACGGCGCGAGCAGGUGCGAAAGCAGGUCAUAGUGAUCCGGUGGUUCUGAAUGGAAGGGCCAUCGCUCAACGGAUAAAAGGUACUCCGGGGAUAACAGGCUGAUACCGCCCAAGAGUUCAUAUCGACGGCGGUGUUUGGCACCUCGAUGUCGGCUCAUCACAUCCUGGGGCUGAAGUAGGUCCCAAGGGUAUGGCUGUUCGCCAUUUAAAGUGGUACGCGAGCUGGGUUUAGAACGUCGUGAGACAGUUCGGUCCCUAUCUGCCGUGGGCGCUGGAGAACUGAGGGGGGCUGCUCCUAGUACGAGAGGACCGGAGUGGACGCAUCACUGGUGUUCGGGUUGUCAUGCCAAUGGCACUGCCCGGUAGCUAAAUGCGGAAGAGAUAAGUGCUGAAAGCAUCUAAGCACGAAACUUGCCCCGAGAUGAGUUCUCCCUGACUCCCUGAGAGUCCUGAAGGAACGUUGAAGACGACGACGUUGAUAGGCCGGGUGUGUAAGCGCAGCGAUGCGUUGAGCUAACCGGUACUAAUGAACCGUGAGGCUUAACCUU